RNAcentral lists this unclassified non-coding RNA (190 nucleotides) under uncultured Helotiales. Its description in RNAcentral is "sequence contains ITS1". The record is from RNAcentral. Lineage: Eukaryota; Fungi; Ascomycota; Leotiomycetes; Helotiales.
CUGAGUUAGGGUCUUCCAGGCCCGACCUCCAACCCUUUGCCUACCUUACCUCUUGUUGCUUCGGCCGGCCCGUCCCCCCUAGAAAUAGGGGUCGACCGCCGGAGGGCUCACACCCUCUGGCCCGCGCCCGCCGAAGACAUCUCGAACUCUGUCUGAAGAUUGUAGUCUGAGUAAAAAUAUAAAUUAUUUA